CAGUAGCCGCGGUAAUACAGAGGGUGCGAGCGUUAAUCGGAUUUACUGGGCGUAAAGCGUGCGUAGGCGGCUUUUUAAGUCGGAUGCGAAAUCCCCGAGCUUAACUUGGGAAUUGCAUUCGAUACUGGGAAGCUAGAGUAUGGGAGAGGAUGGUAGAAUUCCAGGUGUAGCGGUGAAAUGCGUAGAGAUCUGGAGGAAUACCGAUGGCGAAGGCAGCCAUCUGGCCUAAUACUGACGCUGAGGUACGAAAGCAUGGGGAGCAAACAGGAUUAGAUACCCCUGUAGUCCCUGUCUCUUAUAC
Molecule: ribosomal RNA, 301 nt
Filed under: uncultured bacterium
Lineage: Bacteria
Description: partial 16S ribosomal RNA
Rfam family: Bacterial small subunit ribosomal RNA
Source: RNAcentral